GGGCUCAUAGCUCAACGGGUUAGAGCGCUGUCCUGAUAAGGCAGAGGUUCCUGGUUCAAGUCCAGGUGAGCCCACCA
Molecule: transfer RNA, 77 nt
Filed under: Candidatus Acetothermia bacterium
Lineage: Bacteria; Candidatus Bipolaricaulota
Also listed under: 2 other names
Description: tRNA-Ile
Rfam family: tRNA
About the family: Transfer RNA (tRNA) molecules are approximately 80 nucleotides in length. Their secondary structure includes four short double-helical elements and three loops (D, anti-codon, and T loops).
Source: RNAcentral